ACAUUUUGGGUCAGAUUUAGAAUGCACCUUUAAAAUCAUCUGUUCUAUUUAACUAUUUAACAACAAAAGUAAACAAUGAAAAUUCCUCAUGGAAAGUAACUCUGAGUCUAGGAAUUAAUAAUUAUAUAAUUAAUAACUACUGCCCAAGUGCAUCAUAUCAGCAGACACAAAGCAGCUGUUUUAUCAACUAAAGUUAGUCAGAUUUUAAAUGGUCAUCAGUUGAAUAGGUUAAUGAAUCCUGACCUGAGAGUCUCCAGUUCCAGACAGCUGAUACC
Long non-coding RNA from Sander lucioperca (pikeperch), 275 nucleotides. RefSeq lists it as uncharacterized. Lineage: Eukaryota; Metazoa; Chordata; Actinopteri; Perciformes; Percidae. The record is from RefSeq and is a predicted model, not a curated record. The transcript is spliced from 3 exons.